CACAGACCCCUGGGAGGUGUACUUUCCGGGUGCAGACCGCGAAUGGAUCGCAGCGUAUUCUGGGAAGUGUUGUUUUAUCGACCGGCCCCACGUGGAGACAGAUUUAGGCAUCCAAGCGAAAUGCGUGAGGCCAGCCCGACCUGCACUGAGGGAGAGAUUGCUUUGCAUAAAUCCACCCCUGUUUGAAAUCUAUCAAGUCUUGUUAAGCCCAACACAACAUCAUGUAGCACUUAUAGGAAUAAAAGGACUUAUGGUAUUAGAAUUACCUAAAAGAUGGGGGAAGA
RNAcentral lists this long non-coding RNA (284 nucleotides) under Homo sapiens (human). RNAcentral describes it as "HSALNT0236425". Lineage: Eukaryota; Metazoa; Chordata; Mammalia; Primates; Hominidae. The record is from RNAcentral.